This 254-nucleotide ribosomal RNA is filed under the name uncultured bacterium. RNAcentral's name for it is "partial 16S ribosomal RNA". It matches the Rfam family "Bacterial small subunit ribosomal RNA", at positions 524 to 776 of the family's 1533-position model. The record is from RNAcentral.
UACGUAGGGGGCAAGCGUUGUUCGGAAUUACUGGGCGUAAAGGGCGCGUAGGCGGCCUGCUAAGUCGAACGUGAAAUCCCUGGGCUCAACCCAGGAACUGCGUCCGAUACUGGUUGGCUUGAAUCCGGGAGAGGGAUGCAGAAUUCCAGGUGUAGCGGUGAAAUGCGUAGAUAUCUGGAGGAAUACCGGUGGCGAAGGCGGCAUCCUGGACCGGCAUUGACGCUGAGUGAGCGAAAGCCAGGGGAGCAAACGGG